CCUACGGGAGGCAGCAGUGGGGAAUAUUGCACAAUGGGGGAAACCCUGAUGCAGCAACGCCGCGUGAGUGAAGAAGUAUUUCGGUAUGUAAAGCUCUAUUAGUAGGGAAGAAGAUGACGGUACCUGAGUAAGUAGCCCCGGCUAAUUACGGGCCAGCAGCCGCGGCAAGACGUAGGGGGCAAGCGUUAUCCGGAUUUACUGGGUGUAAAGGGGGCGUAGUCGGUGGGACAAGUCUGAAGUGAAAGCCCGGGGCUCAACCCCGGGACUGCUUUGGAAACUGCGUGACUGGAGUGCUGGAGAGGCAAGCGGAAUUCCUGGUGUAGCGGUGAAAUGCGUAGAUAUUAGGAAGAACACCAGUGGCGAAGGCGGCUUGCUGGACAGUAACUGACGUUGAGGCUCGAAAGCGUGGGGAGCGAACAGGAUUAGAUACCCGUGUAGUC
Molecule: ribosomal RNA, 440 nt
Filed under: uncultured bacterium
Lineage: Bacteria
Description: partial 16S ribosomal RNA
Rfam family: Bacterial small subunit ribosomal RNA
Source: RNAcentral